CAGUGCGGGCCCUCCUCUCUGAGGUGGAGGGGGGCUGUCAGUGCUGCUUUAGACACAAACCCUUCCUCUCCCCACCCACCCACCUUCUCCCCCUCUCUCCCACCGCCGCGCUGCAGAGAGCCAGACCUGGGGACGCGGCGCGCACAGCAGCCAGCAGCUGGAGGAGGAGGGUCGCUCUGCUGUCAUCUGGCUUGGGUGAAGGGGGAGGCAGGGGGACUCUCGGUUUGUGCUUGGAUUAAAACACAACCCCAGACAAAGAAGGCAGAGGAGAGGAGUUGGGCGGGGGGAGGCAUAUGCCAGGGAGAGGCGUCGCUCUCAAUCGUGCCUCUGUUCCCAAGGAUUAAGGAAUGAAUGGGAGCCGCUUCCCAGCUCGCCAUGGAGAGAGGAGGCAAUUCAGGCUGCCAGGAUAAGAGUCCAGUGGGCAAUAUGGCAGUGCCACGUCCUGGUGGCCAUGAGGAGCCUUGUUUAAAUCCAAUGCUCACACCAUUUCCAACUGUCCCAGAUGAAUUCAUAUAAUGUCCUUCUCUCAGACUUCACAAGGCUUCCUUCCUGAUGGGUUCCUGAAGCUCCCACCAGUGGCUCAGGCUACGCCCCGUGAAAGCACUCCCUGCGUGGCCUCCAGUCCGUGCAGCCGUUGCGUCUCCGAACCUGCUUCUGCAAUGGGUAAUGAGGAGCUGUGGGUCCAGUCAGUCUUGGAGAUGCCGAAGAGAAGAGACAUCCUGGCUAUCGUGCUGAUAGUUCUGCCCUGGACGCUGUUAAUCACCGUCUGGCACCAGAGCACCAUUGCUCCGCUGCUUGCAGUGCACAAGGAUGAGGGUGGCGACUCCAGGCGUGAUCUGGCCCAAGGCUCGGACUCCAAGGAGUACUGCCUGUCAGACCGCGACAUUGUGGAGGUGGUGAGGACAGAGUACGUUUACACCCGCCCGCCCCCAUGGUCGGACACCCUCCCUACCAUCCACAUCAUCACCCCCACCUACAGUCGGCCGGUGCAAAAGGCGGAACUGACGCGUCUGGCCAACACCCUCUUGCAUGUGCCCAACCUGCACUGGAUCCUGGUGGAGGACUCUCAGAGGCGCACCCCCCUCGUCACCCGGCUGCUGCGGGACACAGGGCUGAACUACACCCACCUCAAUGUGGAGACGCCCCGCAACUACAAGCUGCGGGGAGACAUGAGGGACCCCAGGAUCCCCCGCGGGACCAUGCAGAGGAACCUGGCCCUGCGGUGGCUGAGAGAGACCUUUAACAAAAACAGCAGCCAACCUGGGAUUGUUUACUUCGCUGACGACGAUAACACCUACAGCCUGGAGCUCUUCGAGGAGAUGCGCACCACCAGGAAGGUGUCGGUGUGGCCGGUGGCCUUUGUGGGUGGCUUGCGCUACGAGUCACCCAAAGUGAAUGCAGCGGGGAAGGUGUAUGGCUGGAAGACUGUUUUCGACCCCCACCGCCCGUUUGCCAUCGACAUGGCGGGCUUUGCUGUGAACCUCAGGCUGAUACUCCAGCGAUCUCAGGCUUACUUCAAACUGCGAGGAGUGAAGGGUGGCUACCAAGAGAGCAGCCUUCUCCGGGAAUUAGUGACCUUGAAUGACCUUGAGCCGAAAGCUGCCAAUUGCACUAAGGUAUGGACUCUUUCUGGUACAUGGACCCACUCUUCUGCAUCUAUCACUAAUCACAAUUGCAAGGAAAUGCAGAAACUUGAAAAGGGAGCAUAGGAACUGCCAUAUAGGAUUAGAUCUGUUGUCUAACCAGGCCAGUAUCCCAUCUCCCAUCCCUCAGGGUUAGCCCAAUGCCCAUCCAGUCCAAUAUCCUGUCUCAUGCAGUUGCUGGUACCAGAUGCUUCAAGGAAAGACACAACCUGCUCUCCCCCCACCCCCCCCAUAAAUGGGUUAUGAAGUAAAAUACAUAGUGGGGAAGUUUCAUCUUAAGCUCAGGGCCUUAGUGGCUCGCUUCUGCCCUGAGUGUGAGGGUUUAUCCCCUUUAUAAAUGUCUCUGCUAGUUAUGGUUACUCUACAUGACAUCCUUACUGUUUACAUGAAUAUCUAAUUUUUUUUGGUCUCAUUGUCCUGUGACAGUGAGUUCUACAGAUGAAUUAUGCAUUGUGUGGAAGAGCAUUUCCUAUAUGAAAUGUGCUGCCUUGCAGUUUCAUUUUCAUGUAUAGUAGAGAACACCAAAGUGAAUUUGCAGCUAUGCUCCCGCUUCUCAAAAGAUGUUGCAGGAAAGCAUUGGUUUUAGACAGGUGAGGAGGAAAAGAAUAAUGUCCUGCAUUAUGCUGGGAAGCAAACAGGCAUCCAUGUGGGGUGUGGUGGCACAGAUGGGAUCCAGGGCAGAGCUAAAGAGGCAUGAAGCAGAGUUGACUGGGACGUUUGCAUCAGACAGUCCAUCUGCUCUGCUCACCCUCUGUGCUGCUCUGCCUAACAAGAACAUGACAGUGACAAUGUGUCCUAAGAGCGGAGGGAGGUCAGAAGUGAGAUCUAAUGCUAGGGUGAAUGGGGGGAGAAGGCAUGUUGUGUAGAACGCACUCCAGAUUGAUUCCCUCUUAGAACGGUAAACGGACAGGGUGUAGCAGGCAAGGGAAUCCAAUGUCAGGCCAAAGCUUCCUUGCAAAUGCUUCGAGCCUGAAGCUGGCGCAGCAAUGGCUAUGCUGCCUCUAGAAAUACACACAGAAGAGCAGCUUUUGAUGUGACGGUAGCUGUCAGAGUAAGGCAUCGUGCUGGAAAGCUGGGGCGAGAGCAAGGCCAGCUGCGGUGGGACACGCUGUCAGGACUUUGUUUCCAGACAAGGGGGAGAUCGUGUUCCUUGAGUCAGACAGGAGACAACUUCUGUGCUAUGGGCCAGGAACUGAAGAGGUUACAGCAGCUGAGAUUAGGAGCGGGCUGUUUUCUCUGUGACAAGGCAGUGGAGAUAUCACAGGGACUCGGUUUUGAGCCGGACGCACUGUGAUCCUGACCAACUCUCGGCACUUCGGGUGUCCUGCUUUGUGUCUCUGCUUCCAGCUGCCACCAGCCUCCCUUCAGCAAUUAUCACAUAACUCAUCGGCCCAGCGUGAGGUAGACAGAGACCAAAUUCAGCAGAGGCAGAGCUCAGAGAAUUCUACACAACAAGCGAGGGCACGACAGCAGAGAUGCCUCCCCUUCUAAACACAGGAGCUGAGCAGUCUGUAUGCCUGGAGAGUGAUGAUAGCAGGGUUUAGGGUAGCUAAGAAGGGGCAAUGCAUGCUUGGAAACUUGACCUUGUUAAUGGGAACGGCUCUGCGGUGACCUCUUGCGGGGGUGGAAGGAGAGUAAUUUAAGCUGUGCUGAGACCCUCAGCAUCACCACUGGUGGGUGUAGGCUUGUUCAGAAUCCAGCCCUGAGAGGAAUGAUGGUUCAGGGGUUAGGGCACCAGCCUGUGAUCCCAGAGAUCUGGGCUCCAUUGCCUGCUCUGCCACAGACUUCCUGUCUGACCUUGGAAAGUGAAGGGGAUAAAAUGAGUGGCAGUUGGGCACCUAAAGGCCUUUGAGGAUUGUGGCCUUAGCGUGUGUGCCUCAGUUUCCCAUCUGUAAAAUGGUACUUUUCUCAGCUUCACAGAGGUGUUGAGGAUUAAUACACUAAGGAUUGUGAAUCUCUCCGAUAUGAUGGUUAAUGAGGGCUAGACAGGCACACAGGUAGACAGCCCUUUACCUGAUGCCUCCUUAGAUGUCCCCUGUGUGCUGCGCUGGUAUUCAUUUUUAACGCUCUCAACUCAAACACACAAACUGAAGCGCCUGCAAAAAGCUUAUUUACUGGCCAAUAAAUAAGUCCUGUGUUGCUCUCCUUGGCUUAAUACCUGCCUGAAAGAGUGGGAACGAAAAGAUGAUGAUCUUAAGUGUGGGCACUGCAGGAAUUUCUAGACAAAAGGAGGAAGCCAGCCCUGAAAUCCCUGCCAGGAGCUGCAAAUACGGAGAGGAAAAAAUGAAAAGAGAGCUUUCUCCAUGGAGAUGGGGGGAGAUGUGCUUCUCUGGGAGAGGCAGACCUUUGUUUUGAAUGGUUUGGGUAGCAAUUUAUCAGUCACAUUUAAUUAAACGCCCACGUUCUGCCCCUUCUCCUGUCUCUCAGCUGCAUUAUGCACCGGGCUCCAACCUCAGGCUAAAUCUGUGUGUUUGAGACUGUGUUUGGGUGAUGCGGGUGAAGGAAGCCAGCCAGCCAGCUGCCUAGUGUUGGACAGGGAUGUUUUGCUGCUGCUGCUUCUGAGAGGAUUAGAGAGAGGCCGAGUAUUUCUGGACAGAGAGAGCUAGUAUUAGAUGCCACAGUAAGUGUGACCAGCUACCACCAAGGCUACAGGCUAGGAAGGAUGGGGUUGAUGGGCAAGAGCGGAGCUUCCUCACCAGCAUCUAUGGAAGAACAACACUGCAGCUGUUGCAGGAUUUGUGCUGGCUCUUUGAAGAGAAAUAAAUCCCUUCCCUACGUAAGAUGGAGAAUCUGGGUGAACCCUGGUUCUCGCCAUGUAUUUUCCAAGAUGCAGAAAGGAACUGGCUCUUUUUUUUUUUUUUUUUGGUCACAGAUCUGAUGUAGCUCAAACUGGCCCUAGGACAGAGCGACUCCAGCAGGAUUCCACUGAUGAAAGCAGGAGGCGAGAGGGGCUCCUGGGGAAUAACUUCCUUCCUUCCUUGUCAGAUUUCCUGUGAUAAAGUGUGUGCACUGAAUGCAGUGCAGAUGGAGGGGGAGAUCAGAUCGGCAAACUCCAUUUGUAUUUAUUCUCUCUCUCUCUGUGAGCUGAGCAAGUAUCUGCUAGGACAGGUUUACUCUCCCUUUCUGCUUGAGUUAUUCCCCAGUGUUUGGGACGCCAGUCUUACAGGGCUGCACUUGUUUGGAUUGAUUGCAGAUGUUCCUAGGGCAGGGGCUGUUCGAUACUCUAGCUGCCAUUGGUCACACGCUCUUGCUUCUGGUGCCAGACUGGCUAAGCCUGACUUAAUAAUCAGGAGGAAAAGGCCUGAGGAAGCCCCUGAGGCUGUGACUCUAAGGCAGUGGUUGCAGAUAAGCAGAAUUUAGGCUUUGUAUGGGGGACAUGUUCAGAUUUCAGCCAUCAGCACCAGUGCAGUCUCCGAGUUUACAUAGGGUUAAACUGCUGUCACCUGCACCAGGGCAGCUUAUCCCAGUUAUGAGCAGGGCAAAACUCUGGUGCAACUAGUGCCUUUGCUUAACUGCACUAGGGGGUUUGUGCUGGUGCAGUUACACCAGUGGCUGGGCCGGUAUUAACGCCCUAGCAUAGACAAAGCCUUAUUUUAACCCUUUUUCUUUUCUGGGCCACACAUGCUUUGUUUGAAGCUUCAACCCUUGGUCCCAUUAGGGCUUCUCUGAGCCUUACUGGAUGGAAAAGGGCAUAAAUCUUGAUGGCAAAGUAACUAUGGUCAUAGCUACUGUCUGAGCUUUGCCUGGUUUAUUUGCCUCUGGUCAGGGUUUAGAGAAUCCCCCUGCUAUGUCAAGCAACAUCCCAUCCACUAAAUUAUCCCCCUUUCAAUGCAGCUAGGUCCUCUGAUUCUUUAACUCAGUUACUGCCUUGGUUUAAAUACUGCAGCCAUGUGUAACAGGAGAUAUAGCUGCAAGUUAUCAUGAGUGAAUCCCAUGAGAGAUAUUAAAGGGGGGACACCUGUGAUUUGUAAAGCACUGUUCAAAGCGCUCAUUGUGCCAAGGGCUGUUACAGACAAGUCUUUUUGCUGUUGCUGCGAGCACGGUAAUAAUACAAAUGUGAAAAUAAGUUUUGAGACAUGAGGGCAGACUUUAAAAGGCCUGUAGAACUACUGUAUUAAUAACACAGGUUGUAUUUUUAUGUAUGAUCCAAACCUUGUAUAUAGCAAUGGAAAUGCAUUGUCCUCAAAGUUACAGACAGUUGGCUGAGAAAUGAAAAGCUGUUUCUGUAUUUGAUGGUUGCUCUGUACUAGGUGAUAAUUCCAGUGACCUUACUGAAGAGCAUGGUGUAAAGACUUAAGUAAGAGUUGUACAAAGCACUGUAUAUUAUUUUUAGAAGCCCCUUGCAAUCAGAGAUAGGGAGCUCAAUUUCAGUAUUUACCUUGAUGAAAAAGUAUUAUAGAAAUGACCCCAAGCUCUGUGCUGUUGCGAUUGCAAAAAGGGGGCUGGCGUAAAAGGCAAAGUUUUACAAAAAGGUUCCAUUCUCUGGGUGGGGAAAGCAGCCCAGUCCAGGUUCUUUCCAGUUGUUGGAGGCAAACAGCUCUAUUAAUGUUGCAGAGAGAGAUUGAUCUCUGCUGCAAGUGCUGUGCCUGCUUAAACCAGAACUGAAUUUAGCCUGCAGGCUUAACUGGAAGGCUGUGAGUAACAGAGAGCUGAGUAUUUAACCACAGGCAAGAGGAACGUGCUGAGUUCAUCCUUGGGAAGCAAUACCAUGCUCUUGCAGGUCUAAGGAAAAGCAAGCCAGCACCUUUGAGUACAAAAGAUGGAUCAUGGAAGCUUGGAUUAAACAUGCAGUGUAUUGUCAUAGCAACAAGAGGGGAGCCCUUUCAAGGUAAGAAAUAUCAAUGCAAACUGGGUUAGAAAAGCGGGAAGCUGUAGCUCUGAAGGGACCCAACUGCUACCAUAAUGCAGGUGCUAGGAGCAGAGGGAUAAGUAGUAACCUUUAUUUUAGUGUGGGUACAGACUGUAAACCAGCUUCCAGCUCUUGUCUGCUUAGACAUUUUAAUAGAGUGACUAGAAAUCUUGUGUGAGACAAAUUCCCCAAAUUAAAAAUGUUUCUUGAAUACAUUUCUCAUUUGUGAAAGUUUUGAUUUAAAGAUUUUUCCUUCCCCUGCCACUUUUACAGAGGAAAGCCCCAACAACUAUCAUUUUCAUUAAUACAGUCAGAAUCUGACAAUUUUGAAAUUGUUCCCUUAACUAUAUUUUAUCCAGUUCUACAUUGUAUACCACACUGAGAUCAGUGCAGAACUGUUUCCCAGUACGGUUUAGCUGGCCACUAUGAAUUGGCUCAAAUUGGGUUAGAGGCUUUAACAGCAGCAGACUAAUAUGCUUUGUCUGGCUAGUGUAAGUAGGGCUAAACAAUAUUAAACUGGAUUAAUAGGUCUUUAAACCCCCCCCCCCCCCAAAUGCAAGUAAUGGCCCACUGCCUAAGACAGUGUAGAGAAGUGGAGGAACAGCAUUUUCUGGCUUGGUCACUGCGCAGUAGCAACACCUCAGUGUCUGUCUACACUGCAGUCACAUGGUGUGACUGCAGCUCAGGCCCUCGAGCAGCAGCAGCGUGCACUAAUGCCCCUUGAGCACUUAAGGUGGACUUGUACCUCACCCCACUGAAGCAUGACCUCUAUGAGCUGUACCUGAAUUAGCUCACUAAGAAUAGUGAGUAUGCACAGUGUGGGCUUCAACAGUGCCUACGUAGCUGGUGCUGAAGCCCAUGCUGUGGCAUACUCACUUCCAGAGCAGGCAGGUAUACCCGAGCUGUGAUUUUGAUGGCCAAAUGAACAGCGCAGAACAUGAGGGGCUGAUCGGUGUGAAAUUUAACCCAUUGGUCCCUAGUGUUUCAGCAGGGUUACUCAGUGCAUGCACCCCAAAAUGGGCAAAGCAGACAUCGGGCACUGAAGGCUGUCUCUCUCUGUGAGCCAGUGUGAGAAUCAGAAAAGAAAGGGAAGAGAUCCCUAAGCAACAGUCACCCAGUCUCUUGGGGAUGCUUUAGAAGAAUAAAUGGAUAGUAGACUCCAGCUGUUGCUGACAGAAAAGCUCCCACUAGGAAGUGAGAGCCCCUCCAGUUCUGCUUUUUCAAAGGUACAGAUGGCGGCCUGAACUGAUGACUCAAUGUUUCCUUCCUGUUAUACCUAGUAGUUACAAGGAGUGUACAGAGCAACAAGGUGCCUUUCUAUUUUCAGCCCAGCUAUCUGUUGUACAGGGAGUGGAUGAUGCUGUUGCAGUGGCUUGAUAUGCAGCCACCACGGAUAUGCCUAUGGUGCAGCAGAAGUAUAAUAAUUACUAGCUCAGAUAGACAUACAUGCAGUAGAUUUGAUUAAGUGACCAUGAUAAAAAUGGGGCAGUAGCCACAGGCUGCGGCUUCAGCGAGCUGCCCAAAUGCACACCUAGGGUCUUGAGACAGGAUUAGGCCCUGGUGCUAGCCUCUGCAUAGUGACUACACUUCUGUUUUUAGCCUGCUAGCUCAAAGUCACCACAUACACACCUACCUGAGCUGGAAAUUACAUCUCUAGCUGCAGCCUUGACACUUUGAGUUGGGGUGGGGGAGCGUUUGUCUCUGUAAACACAAACAAGAAUUUUGAUUCCAUAGUGAUGAAACAGCCCAAAAUCAGUGCAGAGGAUGAUAAGUCUUUAGUGGAGGUUGGUUGAUAAAUAGAUAGAAGGAGCAGGUUAAUGGCCUGAGACAGUAUCCUGUCAAAUGGGUAAUUUUUGCACAUGGUGCAUUUCAGAUGUCAGUGGCCACAGGCAAAUCUGCCUAAGGCUGUGAAUGCACCAUUACACUCUAGGGUAUGUGGUUAAAUAGCACUAUUGGUUUAAUGUGCAAGAAUAUUUGUUAGCAUAAUGCAGAGAUGCAGCUAAUGACUUCUGUGGGCUUGGUUCAGAUUCUAGUCUGGCACACAAGGACGGAAAAACCCGUGCUGGUGAAUGAGGGAAAGAAAGGCUUCACAGAUCCCAACGUGGAAAUCUGAUGCUGCAUGGCUGAGCGGAGAUCAAACAGAAGAUUCUCUCAUCCUGCAGGCUCCUCUCUACAG
Molecule: non-coding RNA, 8668 nt
Organism: Caretta caretta (loggerhead turtle)
Lineage: Eukaryota; Metazoa; Chordata; Testudines; Cheloniidae
Source: RefSeq, a predicted model, not a curated record